GCUGGGCAUGGUGGUGCAUGCCUGUAAUCCUAGCUACUUGGGAGGCUGAGGUGGGAGGAUUGCUUGAACCCAGGAGGCGGAGGUUGCAGUGAGCCAAGAUUGCGCCACUGCACACUCCACCCUGGGCGACAGAGCAAGAAUCUCCAUCUC
Molecule: non-coding RNA, 150 nt
Organism: Pan troglodytes (chimpanzee)
Lineage: Eukaryota; Metazoa; Chordata; Mammalia; Primates; Hominidae
Rfam family: Metazoan signal recognition particle RNA
About the family: The signal recognition particle (SRP) is a universally conserved ribonucleoprotein. It is involved in the co-translational targeting of proteins to membranes.
Source: Rfam